Molecule: long non-coding RNA, 653 nt
Organism: Humulus lupulus (European hop)
Lineage: Eukaryota; Viridiplantae; Streptophyta; Magnoliopsida; Rosales; Cannabaceae
Exons: 2
Source: RefSeq, a predicted model, not a curated record
AACCUAUUUUCUAAUUUACUAGCGUUUUAAUGAGCUUACACAUUCCUUGGUGGUUAUAGAUUCAUCUCUAGAUGCAAUAAAUCUUUGGUUCUUUAUUUUCAUAAUAAUUGGUUUCCUGUGCCCAAAACCGAAUGAGAAGUUGUAGAUUGAAUUGUUGUUAGAGCUCAUGAAGUUAGUUAUUUACUGAUUAGUGGUGCCUUCCUAAAUAUACAAUCGAAGAUAUAUUUAAUAGAGAUUGACCUUGCUAUAUUCACCUUUAUAUUAUGCGUUUUCUAUUCCCCGAUUGUUGUGAUUGAUCUAUUUCCACUGAUUAUUAUUUUUUCUUUACUGACUGCAGUGUUGGACACAAGAGAGAGGUCAUUCUUGAAAAACAACUGCUCAAUCGUGAACAUGUUGCUUGGAAGACAUCCAUAAAGCACACUGUAACAAAAUCAGAUCCUCCAAGAAUUAGCCAUGAAAACCUCAUUAAAACUCCAGUUUCUCAAGGACCAGUAGAAGAUGUUUCAUUUUCUGAAAGUGACAUCUCUCCUGCGCACUGUAACUUGUGGGAUGAUUUUAAUUGGCUUUUACAUUUGCAAGUGGAGAGCAUUUUAUGGUUCUAGUAGUGUCAUCAUGCCAAUGCAAAAUCAUUUGAGGCCUUGGAUGAUAUGAAG